Non-coding RNA from Arabidopsis thaliana (thale cress), 197 nucleotides. RefSeq annotates it as other RNA. NCBI's taxonomy places the organism in Eukaryota, Viridiplantae, Streptophyta, Magnoliopsida, Brassicales, Brassicaceae. The record is from RefSeq. The transcript has a single exon.
GAGACGAGUCGGUGGGCACAUGUCAAUGUCACUCUUGGCCGCUCCUUCCGCCGACUGAGCCUCACAUGCGCCGACGGAUUUCUUCUCUGAUUCCUUAGGUUUAGGGCUGAGACCGGAAUUUGAAUCACCGGCAUCUUUUUCGGUCGGAGAAUCUCCAUCCGUCGAGCCUGACUCCUUCUUUUCAGAAUCCUUAGGAA